UGCCAGCAGCCGCGGUAAUACGGAGGGGGCUAGCGUUGCUCGGAAUUACUGGGCGUAAAGGGCGCGUAGGCGGAUUUCCCAGUCAGGCGUGAAAGCCCCGGGCUCAACCCGGGAACUGCGUUUGAUACUAGAAAUCUUGAGUUCUGGAGAGGGUGGUGGAAUUCCCAGUGUAGAGGUGAAAUUCGUAGAUAUUGGGAAGAACACCGGUGGCGAAGGCGGCCACCUGGCCAGAUACUGACGCUAAGGCGCGAAAGCGUGGGGAGCAAACAGGAUUAGAUA
RNAcentral lists this ribosomal RNA (279 nucleotides) under uncultured bacterium. RNAcentral's name for it is "partial 16S ribosomal RNA". It matches the Rfam family "Bacterial small subunit ribosomal RNA", at positions 506 to 784 of the family's 1533-position model. The record is from RNAcentral.